GAAAUAAGAUGCUGGCUUAACGGCCGGCAUUUUACCCUUCUUAUCCAUAACACCUGUGCACUGUUGGAUGCUUGCAUCCACUUUUAUACUAAACAAUUUGUAACAAAUGUAGUCUUAUUAUAAUUAAUAAAACUUUUAACAACGGAUCUCUUGGCUCU
This 158-nucleotide unclassified non-coding RNA is filed under the name rhizosphere metagenome. RNAcentral describes it as "partial ribosomal RNA internal transcribed spacer region". The record is from RNAcentral.